CGCGGCCUAUCAGCUUGUUGGUGAGGUAAUGGCUUACCAAGGCGACGACGGGUAGCCGGCCUGAGAGGGCGACCGGCCACACUGGGACUGAGACACGGCCCAGACUCCUACGGGAGGCAGCAGUGGGGAAUAUUGCACAAUGGGCGAAAGCCUGAUGCAGCGACGCCGCGUGAGGGAUGACGGCCUUCGGGUUGUAAACCUCUUUCAGCAGGGAAGAAGCGAAAGUGACGGUACCUGCAGAAGAAGCGCCGGCUAACUACGUGCCAGCAGCCGCGGUAAUACGUAGGGCGCAAGCGUUGUCCGGAAUUAUUGGGCGUAAAGAGCUCGUAGGCGGUCUGUCGCGUCGGAUGUGAAAGCCCGGGGCUUAACCCCGGGUCUGCAUUCGAUACGGGCAGACUAGAGUGUGGUAGGGGAGAUCGGAAUUCCUGGUGUAGCGGUGAAAUGCGCAGAUAUCAGGAGGAACACCGGUGGCGAAGGCGGAUCUCUGGGCCAUUACUGACGCUGAGGAGCGAAAGCGUGGGGAGCGAACAGGAUUAGAUACCCUGGUAGUCCACGCCGUAAACGGUGGGAACUAGGUGUUGGCGACAUUCCACGUCGUCGGUGCCGCAGCUAACGCAUUAAGUUCCCCGCCUGGGGAGUACGG
RNAcentral lists this ribosomal RNA (643 nucleotides) under uncultured bacterium. RNAcentral describes it as "bacterial SSU rRNA". It matches the Rfam family "Bacterial small subunit ribosomal RNA", at positions 232 to 885 of the family's 1533-position model. The record is from RNAcentral.